Molecule: ribosomal RNA, 757 nt
Filed under: uncultured organism
Description: bacterial SSU rRNA
Rfam family: Bacterial small subunit ribosomal RNA
Source: RNAcentral
AGACAUGCAAGUCGAACGAGAAGCUCCCUUCGGGGAGUGGAGAGUGGCGCACGGGUGAGUAACACGUGAGCAACCUGCCGGGAAGCCCGGGAUAGCCCUCCGAAAGGAGGAUUAAUACCGGAUGUGGCCACCCUGCGAUUGCGGGGGAAGCUAAAGGAUUAUUCACUUCCCGAGGGGCUCGCGGNCCAUCAGCUUGUUGGUGAGGGUAACGGCCCACCAAGGCGACAACGGGUAGCUGGUCUGAGAGGAUGGUCAGCCACACUGGAACUGAGACACGGUCCAGACACCUACGGGUGGCAGCAGUCGAGAAUCAUUCGCAAUGGGGGAAACCCUGACGAUGCGACGCCGCGUGGAGGAUGAAGGCCUUAGGGUCGUAGACUCCUGUCAAGAGGGAAUAAGCAAGUGAAGGUACCUCUAGAGGAAGGGGCGGCUAAUUCCGUGCCAGCAGCCGCGGUAACACGGAAGCCCCGAGCGUUGUUCGGAUUCAUUGGGCGUAAAGGGUGCGUAGGCGGCGCGGAAAGUCCGGCGUGAAAGGCAGAGGCUCAACCUCUGGACUGCGUUGGAUACUUCCGUGCUUGAGGACUGGAGGGGAGACUGGAAUUCACGGUGUAGCAGUGAAAUGCGUAGAUAUCGUGAGGAAGACCGGUGGCGAAGGCGAGUCUCUGGACGGAUCCUGACGCUGAGGCACGAAGGCUGGGGGAGCGAACAGGAUUAGAUACCCUGGUAGUCCCAGCAGUAAACGAUGUGAGCUUGAUGU